GUAUGCUUAUAAUACGUAAAACCUGCUCAAUGAAAUCUUAAAUAGCCGCAGUACAAUGUGCUAAGGUAGCAUAAUAAUUUGCCUUAUAAUUAAAGGCCGGAAUGAACGGUUUAACAUAUGGAUUUCUUUAUUAAAAUGGAUCCUUUAACUUUACAUAUAAGUAAAAAGGCUUAUAUAAUAAGAGGGACGACAAGACCCUGUCGAGCUUAACUUCAGUUUAACUGGGGCGGUCAAAAACAAAUUCUUUAAUUCACAUUUAAUAUCAUCCCUUUAUAAGGAAAAAAACAAGUUACCGCAGGGAUAACAGCAUAAUUCUUUUUAUAAGAUCCUAUUUUAAAAAGAGAUUGUGACCUCGAUGUUGAAUUAUUUCAUCUUUUAGGAGCAGAACCUUAAAAAGAAAGUCUGUUCGACUUUUAAAAAUUUACAUGAUUUGAGUUCAGACCGGCGCAAGCCAGGUCGGUUUCUAUCUUCUUAUAUUUAUUUUCAGUACGAAAGGACCAAAGUAAAAGCAAUUUGCUUUUACUUUUAGCAAAAA
RNAcentral lists this ribosomal RNA (535 nucleotides) under Cyrtocarenum cunicularium. RNAcentral's name for it is "partial 16S ribosomal RNA". It matches the Rfam family "Bacterial large subunit ribosomal RNA", at positions 1837 to 2735 of the family's 2925-position model. Lineage: Eukaryota; Metazoa; Arthropoda; Arachnida; Araneae; Ctenizidae. The record is from RNAcentral.